UGGAGUCGUGACGUCAUAACUAUGCUUUGUAUUCUUCUGUCCCGUUUGCUAAAGUAAUUGAGGCGAUGUAAAAGAAUGUAUAAACAUCAACAAAAUUUUAUAUGAACUCAAGAAGUUUAGAUAAAAUAAGUUUUGCUAUUAAUGGAGAUUUAUAUUUGAUGUAUCAGCAAACACUCUUAAUCGAGUAGUAAUUUUUUCUGUAACAUUUGCGGUUGUAGAGAUUUUAAAUUCAUUUACAGUUUGUCAGUUUCUAAAACAUACAGCUAUUUCCUCAGUUUCUAAAUUUACUUACAUGCUUGAAAUAUAUCACAUGUUAAUUGUUAAUUUAUCUUUUUCUAGAGUUAUGAAAAGAUAUGAUUAUAAGAAAAAUUCACAUCAACAAUUAAUAUAUAAAAUUAUGACAUCAAAUUAGUGACUUCUUUGUAUUUACAUUCGUAUCCAAUAAGAAAUAUCCAUGUGACACCUAAAGUGUAUGCAGAGAUUCUAAUUUUAUG
This 494-nucleotide long non-coding RNA is filed under the name Brassica napus (rape). Its description in RNAcentral is "long non-coding RNA (BNAP_LNC023506)". Lineage: Eukaryota; Viridiplantae; Streptophyta; Magnoliopsida; Brassicales; Brassicaceae. The record is from RNAcentral.